Molecule: ribosomal RNA, 565 nt
Filed under: uncultured bacterium
Lineage: Bacteria
Description: bacterial SSU rRNA
Rfam family: Bacterial small subunit ribosomal RNA
Source: RNAcentral
AUUCCUACGGGAGGCAGCAGUGGGGAAUAUUGGACAAUGGGCGCAAGCCUGAUCCAGCCAUGCCGCGUGAGUGAUGAAGGCCCUAGGGUUGUAAAGCCCUUUCAACGGUGAAGAUGAUGACGGUAGCCGUAGAAGAAGCCCCGGCUAACUUCGUGCCAGCAGCCGCGGUAAUACGAAGGGGGCGAGCGUUAUUCGGAAUUAUUGGGCGUAAAGGGCUCGCAGGCUGCUUGAACAGUUAGACGUGAAAUCCCCGGGCUCAACCUGGGAACUGCGUUUAAUACUAGCAAGCUAGAGAGAUAGAGAGGAAAGUGGAACUCCCAGUGUAGAGGUGAAAUUCGUAGAUAUUGGGAAGAACACCAGUGGCGAAAGCGACUUUCUGGCUAUUUUCUGACGCUGAGGAGCGAAAGCGUGGGGAGCAAACAGGAUUAGAUACCCUGGUAGUCCACGCCGUAAACGAUGUGUGCUAGAUGUUGGAAGGUUACCUUUCAGUGUCGCAGCUAACGCACUAAGCACACCGCCUGGGAAGUACGGUCGCAAGAUUAAAACUCAAAGGAAUUGACGGAAU